Molecule: ribosomal RNA, 423 nt
Filed under: uncultured bacterium
Lineage: Bacteria
Description: bacterial SSU rRNA
Rfam family: Bacterial small subunit ribosomal RNA
Source: RNAcentral
AAGACCUUGCGCUUUUGGAGCGGCCGAUGCCUGAUUAGCUAGUUGGUAGGGUAAAGGCCUACCAAGGCGUCGAUCAGUAGUUGGUCUGAGAGGACGACCAGCCACACUGGGACUGAGACACGGCCCAGACUCCUACGGGAGGCAGCAGUGGGGAAUUUUGGACAAUGGGCGCAAGCCUGAUUCAGCAAUGCCGCGUGAGUGAAGAAGGCCUUCGGGUUGUAAAGCUCUUUCAGUCGAGAAGAAAAGAUUACGACUAAUAAUCGUAAUUCAUGACGGUACCGACAGAAGAAGCACCGGCUAACUACGUGCCAGCAGCCGCGGUAAUACGUAGGGUGCGAGCGUUAAUCGGAAUUACUGGGCGUAAAGGGUGCGCAGGCGGCUUUGUAAGUCAGAUGUGAAAUCCCCGGGCUUAACCUGGGAACU